GACGAUGUGGGGCAGCGAUCGCCUGGCGGGUGCUGGGGGAGGCGGGGCGGCAGUAACUGUGGCCUUCACCAACGCUCGCGACUGCUUCCUCCACCUGCCGCGGCGUCUCGUGGCCCAGCUGCAUCUGCUGCAGAAUCAAGCUAUAGAAGUGGUCUGGAGUCACCAGCCUGCAUUCUUGAGCUGGGUGGAAGGCAGACAUUUUAGUGAUCAAGGUGAAAAUGUGGCUGAAAUUAACAGACAAGUUGGUCAAAAACUUGGACUCUCAAAUGGGGGACAGGUAUUUCUCAAGCCAUGUUCCCAUGUGGUAUCUUGUCAACAAGUUGAGGUGGAACCCCUCUCAGCAGAUGAUUGGGAGAUACUGGUAAAGAAAACCAAAUAAGAACUAUCUCAUUUAAGGAGCUGCAUGCUGUUUCCCUUGAACAGCAUCUUCUAGAUCAAAUUCGAAUAGUUUUUCCAAAAGCCAUUUUUCCUGUUUGGGUUGAUCAACAAACGUACAUAUUUAUCCAAAUUGUUGCACUAAUACCAGCUGCCUCUUAUGGAAGGCUGGAAACUGACACCAAACUCCUUAUUCAACCAAAGACACGCCGAGCCAAAGAGAAUACAUUUUCAAAAGCUGAUGCUGAAUAUAAAAAACUUCAUAGUUAUGGAAGAGACCAGAAAGGAAUGAUGAAAGAACUUCAAACCAAGCAACUUCAGUCAAAUACUGUGGGAAUCACUGAAUCUAAUGAAAACGAGUCAGAGAUUCCAGUUGACUCAUCAUCAGUAGCAAGUUUAUGGACUAUGAUAGGAAGCAUUUUUUCCUUUCAAUCUGAGAAGAAACAAGAGACAUCCUGGGGUUUAACUGAAAUCAAUGCAUUCAAAAAUAUGCAGUCAAAGGUUGUUCCUCUAGACAAUAUUUUCAGAGUAUGCAAAUCUCAACCUCCUAGUAUAUAUAACGCGUCAGCAACCUCUGUUUUUCAUAAACACUGUGCCGUUCAUGUAUUUCCAUGGGACCAGGAAUAUUUUGAUGUAGAGCCCAGCUUUACUGUGACAUAUGGAAAGCUAGUUAAGCUACUUUCUCCAAAGCAACAGCAAAGUAAAACAAAACAAAAUGUCUUAUCACCUGAAAAAGAGAAGCAGAUGUCAGAGCCACUAGAUCAAAAAAAAAUUAGGUCAGAUCAUAGUGAAGAAGAUGAGAAGGCCUGUGUGCUACAAGUAGUCUGGAAUGGACUUGAAGAAUUGAACAAUGCCAUCAAAUAUACCAAAAAUGUAGAAGUUCUCCAUCUUGGGAAAGUCUGGAUUCCAGAUGACCUGAGGAAGAGACUAAAUAUAGAAAUGCAUGCCGUAGUCAGGAUAACUCCAGUGGAAGUUACCCCUAAAAUUCCAAGAUCUCUAAAGUUACAACCUAGAGAGAAUUUACCUAAAGACAUAAGUGAAGAAGACAUAAAAACUGUAUUUUAUUCAUGGCUACAGCAGUCCACUACCACCAUGCUUCCUUUGGUAAUAUCAGAGGAAGAAUUUAUUAAGCUGGAAACUAAAGAUGGGCUGAAGGAAUUUUCUCUGAGUAUAGUUCAUUCUUGGGAAAAAGAAAAAGAUAAAAAUAUUUUUCUGUUGAGUCCCAAUUUGCUGCAGAAGACUACAAUACAAGUCCUUCUAGAUCCUAUGGUAAAAGAAGAAAACAGUGAGGAAAUUGACUUUAUUCUUCCUUUUUUAAAGCUGAGCUCUUUGGGAGGAGUGAAUUCACUAGGCGUAUCCUCCUUGGAGCACAUCACUCAUAGCCUCCUGGGACGCCCUUUGUCUCGGCAGCUGAUGUCUCUUGUUGCAGGACUUAGGAAUGGAGCUCUUUUACUCACAGGAGGAAAGGGAAGUGGAAAAUCAACUUUAGCCAAAGCAAUCUGUAAAGAAGCAUUUGACAAACUGGAUGCCCAUGUGGAGAGAGUUGACUGUAAAGCUUUACGAGGAAAAAGGCUUGAAAACAUACAAAAAACCCUAGAGGUGGCUUUCUCAGAGGCAGUGUGGAUGCAGCCAUCUGUUGUCCUGCUGGAUGACCUUGACCUCAUUGCUGGACUGCCUGCUGUCCCGGAACAUGAGCACAGUCCUGAUGCGGUGCAGAGCCAGCGGCUUGCUCAUGCUUUGAAUGAUAUGAUAAAAGAGUUUAUCUCCAUGGGAAGUUUGGUUGCACUGAUUGCCACAAGUCAGUCUCAGCAAUCUCUACAUCCUUUACUUGUUUCUGCUCAAGGAGUUCACAUAUUUCAGUGCGUCCAACACAUUCAGCCUCCUAAUCAGGAACAAAGAUGUGAAAUUCUGUGUAAUGUAAUAAAAAAUAAACUGGACUGUGAUAUAAACAAGUUCACCGAUCUUGACCUGCAGCAUGUAGCUAAAGAAACUGGAGGGUUUGUGGCUAGAGAUUUUACAGUACUUGUGGAUCGAGCCAUACAUUCUCGACUCUCUCGUCAGAGUAUAUCCACCAGAGAAAAAUUAGUUUUAACAACAUUGGACUUCCAAAAGGCUCUCCGCGGAUUUCUUCCUGCGUCUUUGCGAAGUGUCAACCUGCAUAAACCUAGAGACCUGGGUUGGGACAAGAUUGGUGGGUUACAUGAAGUUAGGCAGAUACUCAUGGAUACUAUCCAGUUACCUGCCAAGUAUCCAGAAUUAUUUGCAAACUUGCCCAUACGACAAAGAACAGGAAUACUGUUGUAUGGUCCGCCUGGAACAGGAAAAACCUUACUAGCUGGGGUAAUUGCACGAGAGAGUAGAAUGAAUUUUAUAAGUGUCAAGGGGCCAGAGUUACUCAGCAAAUACAUUGGAGCAAGUGAACAAGCUGUUCGGGAUAUUUUUAUUAGAGCACAGGCUGCAAAGCCCUGCAUUCUUUUCUUUGAUGAAUUUGAAUCCAUUGCUCCUCGGCGGGGUCAUGAUAAUACAGGAGUUACAGACCGAGUAGUUAACCAGUUGCUGACUCAGUUGGAUGGAGUAGAAGGCUUACAGGGUGUUUAUGUAUUGGCUGCUACUAGUCGCCCUGACUUGAUUGACCCUGCCCUGCUUAGGCCUGGUCGACUAGAUAAAUGUGUAUACUGUCCUCCUCCUGAUCAGGUGUCACGUCUUGAAAUUUUAAAUGUCCUCAGUGACUCUCUACCUCUGGCAGAUGAUGUUGACCUUCAGCAUGUAGCAUCAGUAACUGACUCCUUUACUGGAGCUGAUCUGAAAGCUUUACUUUACAAUGCCCAAUUGGAGGCCUUACAUGGAAUGCUGCUCUCGAGUGGACUCCAGGAUGGAAGUUCCAGCUCUGAUAGUGACCUAAGUCUGUCUUCAAUGGUCUUUCUUAACCAUAGCAGUGGCUCUGACGAUUCAGCUGGAGAUGGAGAAUGUGGCUUAGAUCAGUCCCUUGUUUCUUUAGAGAUGUCCGAGAUCCUUCCAGAUGAAUCAAAAUUCAAUAUGUACCGGCUCUACUUUGGAAGCUCUUAUGAAUCAGAACUUGGAAAUGGAACCUCUUCUGAUUUGAGCUCACAAUGUCUCUCUGCACCAAGCUCCAUGACUCAGGAUUUGCCUGGAGUUCCUGGGAAAGAACAGUUGUUUUCACAGCCUCCAGUGUUAAGGACAGCUUCACAAGAGGGUUGCCAAGAACUUACACAAGAACAAAGAGAUCAACUGAGGGCAGAUAUCAGUAUUAUCAAAGGCAGAUACCGGAGCCAAAGUGGAGAGGACGAAUCCAUUAACCAACCAGGACCAAUCAAAACCAGACUGGCUAUUAGUCAGUCACAUUUAAUGACUGCACUUGGUCACACAAGACCAUCCAUUAGUGAAGAUGACUGGAAGAAUUUUGCUGAGCUAUAUGAAAGCUUUCAAAAUCCAAAGAGGAGAAAAAAUCAAAGUGGAACAAUGUUUCGACCUGGACAGAAAGUAACUUUAGCAUAAAAUAUACUUCUUUUUGAUUUGGUUCUGUUAAGUUUUUUGAUGGCUUUUCCAUAUGUUGUAACAGGAAAAAAAUGGUGUCUAUGAAUUUCUUCUUAAUUUAACAAAUUUGGUUAAUUUAUAAAAUCACAGAUUGGUAAAUGCUAUAAUUAUGUAAUGAUCA
RNAcentral lists this small RNA (4051 nucleotides) under Pan troglodytes (chimpanzee). RNAcentral's name for it is "retained intron". The record is from RNAcentral. Lineage: Eukaryota; Metazoa; Chordata; Mammalia; Primates; Hominidae.